This 232-nucleotide unclassified non-coding RNA is filed under the name uncultured Chitinophagaceae bacterium. Its description in RNAcentral is "contains 16S-23S intergenic spacer region". The record is from RNAcentral. Lineage: Bacteria; Pseudomonadati; Bacteroidota; Chitinophagia; Chitinophagales; Chitinophagaceae.
AACGUCAUCCCCCGGAUCUCUCCGGCCCAUACUUCCCAUGUCAAGGGUUGGUAAGGUUCUGCGCGUUGCUUCGAAUUAAACCACAUGCUCCACCGCUUGUGCGGGCCCCCGUCAAUUCCUUUGAGUUUCAAUCUUGCGAUCGUACUUCCCAGGUGGGAUACUUAAUGCUUUCGCUCAGACACACACAGUGUAUCGCGUAUGUCGAGUAUCCAUCGUUUAGGGCGUGGACUAC